GCUAGGCGUGGUGGUAUACACCUGUAAUCCCAGCUACUCAGGAGGCUGAGGCAGUAGGAUCACAAGUUCAAAGACAGCUUGGGCAACUUAGGGAGACCCUGUCUCAU
This 107-nucleotide small RNA is filed under the name Marmota monax (woodchuck). Lineage: Eukaryota; Metazoa; Chordata; Mammalia; Rodentia; Sciuridae. The record is from RNAcentral.